UUGACGUUAACUACAGAAGAAGCACCGGCUAACUCCGUGCCAGCAGCCGCGGUAAUACGGAGGGUGCGAGCGUUAAUCGGAAUAACUGGGCGUAAAGGGCACGCAGGCGGUGACUUAAGUGAGGUGUGAAAGCCCCGGGCUUAACCUGGGAAUUGCAUUUCAUACUGGGUCGCUAGAGUACUUUAGGGAGGGGUAGAAUUCCACGUGUAGCGGUGAAAUGCGUAGAG
RNAcentral lists this ribosomal RNA (227 nucleotides) under Anophryoides haemophila. Its description in RNAcentral is "partial Bacterial small subunit ribosomal RNA". It matches the Rfam family "Bacterial small subunit ribosomal RNA", at positions 469 to 695 of the family's 1533-position model. Lineage: Eukaryota; Ciliophora; Oligohymenophorea; Philasterida; Glauconematidae. The record is from RNAcentral.